GUGGGGAAUAUUGCGCAAUGGGCGAAAGCCUGACGCAGCGACGCCGCGUGAGUGAUGAAGGCCUUCGGGUCGUAAAGCUCUGUCGGGCGGGAAGAAAAAAUCUAACCUGAACAGGGUUGGAUUCUGACGUUACCGCCGAAGGAAGCACCGGCUAACUCCGUGCCAGCAGCCGCGGUAAAACGGAGGGUGCAAGCGUUGCUCGGAAUCACUGGGUGUAAAGGGCGCGUAGGUGGUUGUCUAAGUCGGAUGUUAAAUCCCUGGGCUUAACCCAGGAAUUGCAUUCGAAACUGGGCAGCUUGAGGGUGGGAGAGGAAAGUGGAAUUCCCGGUGUAGAGGUGAAAUUCGUAGAUAUCGGGAGGAACACCAGUGGCGAAAGCGGCUUUCUGGACCAUCCCUGACACUGAGGCGCGAAAGCGUGGGGAGCAAACAGGAUUAGAAACCCUAGUAGUCC
RNAcentral lists this ribosomal RNA (451 nucleotides) under uncultured bacterium. RNAcentral describes it as "bacterial SSU rRNA". It matches the Rfam family "Bacterial small subunit ribosomal RNA", at positions 354 to 796 of the family's 1533-position model. The record is from RNAcentral.